Small nuclear RNA from Myodes glareolus (Bank vole), 122 nucleotides. The record is from RefSeq and is a predicted model, not a curated record. NCBI's taxonomy places the organism in Eukaryota, Metazoa, Chordata, Mammalia, Rodentia, Cricetidae.
GUGUUGUAUGCAAGGAGAGAAAGACAGCACUCUUUACAAAGAUGGAUAAGGUCCUUGGGUCUAUCAGCAGGGCCAGUGGUUAAGGCAUUGCCGUGUACUGUGGCAUUUGAUGACUGUUUCUA